Molecule: long non-coding RNA, 4826 nt
Filed under: Eutrema salsugineum
Lineage: Eukaryota; Viridiplantae; Streptophyta; Magnoliopsida; Brassicales; Brassicaceae
Description: long non-coding RNA (ESAL_LNC001689)
Source: RNAcentral
UGCAGCCCAUUGUACGAUGAGAUCAUCACAUUGUGCUUGGACCUUGGAGAACUUGAUGCAGCAAUUGCCAUAGUUGCAGAUAUGGAAACCACUGGGAUUACAGUCCCUGACCAAACCUUAGACAAGGUCAUAUCUGCUAGACAGUCGAAUGAGAAUCCCCGAUCUGAGCCUCAAGAGCCACCAUCAUCAUCAUCAGUAAGCUCUUAGUUUCUCGUAUCUUCUUCUUCUUCUUUUGCUUAAAGCUCUCAUCUAUAAGAAACAGAAAUCGGAAGAACCAGCCUGUCUUAGUUAUUAUGAAAGUUUUGUUCAUUCUCUGCAAAAACAAUCCAUAGGAAGCUCUAGUAAAAUUAUUCAUUAUAAUCAAUUUAUUGGAUUAGCUUUUAGACACGGCUGCUUUUGUGAUUCUUGGCGAUAUGUAAUUCGUACAGAGUUUCACCUGAAACAAACCAAAAUAAACAACUUAUGUUUCCAUGCCCUUUUCAAACAUGGAAUCCGGUUUAACUAUUGCAUUAACCCAGUACAUUAAAGUCACUUCUAAGUCCACACUGACAUAGCAUCAGCUAGAUCGAUCCAAAUGCUCUUGGUGAAUGUGGUUUCAUCUACAAACGGUUCAUCAGGACCCCGUUGCAUUCGUCCCAUAGCAUACUUGAUCAGAUUAUAUAAGUCACUUUAGAAACAACAAAAUAUCUUUAUUAAUCCAGGCAGUUUUAAAUCAUAAGAUGGGACACAGAAACAAAAUAGGGAUAAAUUUGAAAGAGAAGACGAGUAAAUGAAAGACAUUAAUAAGGCUUUAUGUAAAUGCUAAAGAUAGAUUUUAAAUAUCAUUUUCUCCUUUUGCCUCUUGGAGAAAGCUCGUUGACUGGGUUUUCAAGUGCCGCAAGUGUCAACAUCUUUUCAUCAUAUCGACGCUUUUCUAAGUUGCUCUGCCUUUUUCUUUUGACUGGCUGCUUGAUUUGCACUGGACUUGGAACAUAAGAGCACACAUGUGGCCACAUCCUAGAGAUUUUGUUGCCAAGAACCGAUUUUCUCAAGUAUUUAGCCUCUCCAACGAUGCUAAGUGUGUGGUGAUAAAAGUCCUCGUCAAAACCCAUGGCGACCUUCUUUUUUUCGUCAAUGAAGAAACCCCAAGGUGAAAUCGGAUAGAAAGGUUCCGUAUACAAUGUCAAGAACUUGCUCCACAACACAUUUUCGGACUCAAUCUUAGUCGUAAUCCAUAUUUCAAGCUCAUAUGGAUUUGAUUCGUUGUGGGUAAGUAAAACCGCAAGCUUCUCUUCUCUAACACAAGAUAAAGUCACAUAGUCAUCAUCCUCAGCGGUAAACGGAAAAGGAAGAAGAGGACCAAAUCUCUCACUUGCAAAAUCAAAACAGAUUAAGUGAAAUUCGUCUUCUGAGUUCUUUUUUAUAGCACAAAAGUAAGUGUUUCCCUUGAGGGAGAUGCCACGCUGAGAACACGUUACGAACCAGUGUGGAGGAACAUCAAGAGUUGUCCAUAGAUCAGAGUCAAAAUCAUACAUUUCAUACCACUUAAACCGUUCUCCGGGUGCAUAGAUGUUUUCAAUUUGAUCAUCCAAAAACCUCAAGAUUUUGUAGGAUUUCUUCUUCUUCUUCUUAUUCACGUAUCCGAGAGCGUAUCUAUACCUCUCCAUAUCCCUUCCGCCAUGUCCCUGGUGAAAAUAUCUUGGUUCGAUCCACCUUGUUUGACCCAAAUACGGAUUCCAAACCACAAGCCUAGAAUCAUCUUUCAAGAUGCAUAACAAUAGUCCCUCGCAGUAAAAGACUUGAGCUAUCUUAAUUUGUUCGUUUUCGUUUAAGCAACUGAGUUUGCUUUUAUUCUCAGUAGAUGGAUCUCCUUCGAGGAAUAAGCUCAUCAAAUGAAGAUUUUCAUUCAUCAUUAUGAUCAUCCGAGACUCCCCUUCCCUUGCUGCAGAAGCUUCUUUAUCAAUGCGCAUCUUUGUAAAGCUCCGGCUUUUUGAUAAAGUGUCCCACUCUCUGCAAGUUAAUCGCACUGCUCUCAUGGAUUUCAAUGGAAGUCUAUAGAAAAUCUCCUCUACCAAAUCUCUCGGAAGAUCCAAGAUCAUCGUCCUUGUUGUUUCAGUUUGCAACCAGGGGUUUUUUUUUUUUCUUUGAUUUCUUGCGGCGGGGGUAAGAGUAUUUAUGAUAGUUGAAGACACAUAAGCCCUAAACAAAAGUGGGCCAGUACUGGGCUUCAGAAUCUAGUCGGGCUUUUGUUGAUGGUCUAACAAUGGUCUCCCGCCUUUGAAACUUCGCGAGAAGGUUUACAGGCACGAUUAUGUAUCUGAAGCAGAACCAGUUGUUGCAAAAGAAUGAUGAAGAUGAAGCUUUCUGAUGAAAAUAAUUCUCAUAAUGCUCGUAACUGGACGUAAUCUUCCUUGUGUUCUUCUUCCAGAGCCAUUCCAAGAUAUUAUUAUCGAUCAGUGGAAUAUGGUUUUGAAGAAAUGUGUUCUCAAGACUGAAUCCGGGAGACGCCUCAAGUGUUUACUGUUGAGUGGUGAAUGGAGCAAUGUCGUUGAGGCUAACAGUUUGAGAGACGACGACAACAUCAGUCUCUGGUCUUUCAGCCGCAAUGGAAUCCUCUUCUUUGCCCUUGAUUUAAUUUGCAGGUGAUCCCAUAGAUUUCUUAGACUGAAAAAAGGGAGUGCUUUUGGGGACUAUUAGGGUUUAGGUACAAGUCGAGAUCUUGUAAUCUUGUUUGAGUUUCUCUUCCAUUACUGCUCACAGAUGAAAUGUUCGUUGAAAAAACAAAACUUUUAGUCCUUUGCUUUCUCCUUUAAUGGAGAUUGUCACCAUACUCCUCUGUUCAUAUGAAUUGUAUACUGAUGACAUUACUCUCGUUUGUUGCUUGAUUUACAAGAACAUAAAUGAAGUUUUCAGGUAACUCAUUUUUUUUUUUUUUGGGUUUAGGUCUACUUUGGUUACUGCAUUGGUAAUAUCUUAGAUUUCUUCUGAUACAUCAUCAAAAACUGCAUCUUUUUUAGCCUGCAAUUUAGAUGCCUAAGUUACUUUGUGUACAACCAUUUUCCUGAACAAAACAACAACAAGAGUAUCAAUACCAACACAUACAUCACUAUCAUUCCGAGUCCUUGGUUGAAACUACCUUUCCAUUGUUUUCAAUAUCAUUACAUACAGCUUCUGCUUCUUUUUCUAUCACAAAUUCACUGUUUUCUCGCCUGGAAAAACAUAAUCACUUUACACUUAUGCUCCAUUUAAACACAAACACAGACCUGAUUUCGUCUCUCGGCUCUUCUCUACGAGCCAAAUCUGAAGUUCAGAGAUUUUGAUACUCAUCUGAAAAAUCUCAUCUUGAAAUACUCUACUUUUUAUUUUGACGAAACUUAAAAUAUUCGUCGUUUUAGUUUGGCUAAAAACGGCAUAACAUGCAAUAUUGAUGUCGUUUACUAUAUAAAAUACUCGUUGUUUUUAUUGGUUUUAUUGGCUUUAACGGAAGAAAAGUCAGGGAGCGUGACGCCACGCGCAUGAAAACACAUAUUCAUACCCACUCGCACCUGGUGCGCGUUGCGCGCGUUAGGCCUAAUUCGUGGGUUAUAGUCCACCGAUUUUGCUCAUUUUUGGGCAAAAUUUAAAACUGAGCGAGUAGGUUGCGUUUUACUUGUUAUUUGAUUGUCGUUUUGUCAUUAUUUUGAGCAAAUUUCAGCAAUUAAGAGCAUGUCUCCUAUAUGUCACUGUCCGUCAAAUUAACUACUGUGAUACAUAAACAUUAUUAACAUCAUUUGAUAUUAUGUCACCCGCCCGUCAAAUUAACUCCAGUCAUACAAAAUCAUUAUUUAUGUCAUUCGAUGUUAUAUGCGUUUUGCUUCUUAUGGAUUGUCGUUUCAUUUUUCAGAGAAAUUGGAUCAUCGGCCGAGAUGCUUCUCUGGUUAGCCGGAGAAGAGAACGCCGGCUACUGUGAAUUGGGCGGUUAGCGGAGACACUGAAUUGCACCGAAUUACUCCGGCUCGCUUCGUCACCUUCUUCCUCCAUCCCUACAAAUAAGGAUAAGGUAAUCUCGAAAGCUUUCAAUUUUGUUGGUGUUUGGUGUCGUGAAAGAUGGAUUGAAACUGGCUCAAAGAUCGAAUUCAGCUCGAGAUGUUGAUGAUGUGAUGGGCAUUUUGACAUCAGAUUAUGGAAAUGGGUAUUUCGUUUUGACUUCAUCAAAUCUUUAGAUUCUGGAAACUGCUUGUUAUUCAAAUUCAUCUGAUUGCGUUUUCUGAAGGAUUAUAUAAUAACUAUCAAGUUAAUUUUGUUCCUUGAAUACGCGGAGGUUCACCAUAGCUAAACUCAUUAUUCAUUAUCACAUUGUGCUUGGACCUUGGAGAACUUGAUGCAGCAAUUGCCAUAGUUGCAGAUAUGGAAGCCACAGGGAUUACAGUCCCUGACCAAACCCUAGACAAGGUCAUAUCUGCUAGACAGUCGAAUGAGAAUCCCCGAUCUGAGCCUCAAGAGCCUCCAUCAUCAUCAUCAGUAAGCUCUUAGUUUCUCGUAUAUAUCUUCUUCUUCUUCUUUUGCUUACUGGGAAGCUCUCCUCUAUAAGAAACAGAAAUCAGAAGAAGCAGUAUGUCUUAGUUAUUAUGAAAGUUUUGUUCAUUCUCAGCAAAAACAAUCCAUAGAAAGCUUAAUUUUUCAGGUAAAAGUUUUCAUUAUAAUGAAUUUAUUGGAUUAGCUUUUAGACACAGCUGCUUUUGUGAUUCUUGGCGACAUGUAAUUCGUCUAGAGUUUUACCUGAAACAAACCAAAACAAACAAUUAUGUUUCCAUGCCCUUUUUCAAACAUGGAAUCCGGUUUAACAAAUCAAGCGUUUGUUUUUAAAA